RNAcentral lists this ribosomal RNA (194 nucleotides) under uncultured bacterium. RNAcentral describes it as "partial 16S ribosomal RNA". It matches the Rfam family "Bacterial small subunit ribosomal RNA", at positions 521 to 714 of the family's 1533-position model. The record is from RNAcentral.
UAAUACGAAGGGGGCUAGCGUUGUUCGGAAUUACUGGGCGUAAAGCGCGCGCAGGCGGUUCUUUAAGUCAGGGGUGAAAGCCCAGAGCUCAACUCUGGAAUUGCCUUUGAAACUAGAGAACUUGGGUACGGGAGAGGUGAGUGGAAUUCCGAGUGUAGAGGUGAAAUUCGUAGAUAUUCGGAAGAACACCAGUG